This 253-nucleotide ribosomal RNA is filed under the name uncultured bacterium. Its description in RNAcentral is "partial 16S ribosomal RNA". It matches the Rfam family "Bacterial small subunit ribosomal RNA", at positions 524 to 776 of the family's 1533-position model. The record is from RNAcentral.
UACGAAGGGGGCUAGCGUUGCUCGGAGUCACUGGGCGUAAAGCGCACGUAGGCGGCUUUCUAAGUCAGGGGUGAAAUCCUGGAGCUCAACUCCAGAACUGCCUUUGAUACUGGAGAGCUUGAGUCCGGAAGAGGUGAGUGGAACUCCGAGUGUAGAGGUGAAAUUCGUAGAUAUUCGGAAGAACACCAGUGGCGAAGGCGGCUCACUGGUCCGGUACUGACGCUGAGGUGCGAAAGCGUGGGGAGCAAACAGG